Molecule: long non-coding RNA, 2173 nt
Organism: Equus asinus (donkey)
Lineage: Eukaryota; Metazoa; Chordata; Mammalia; Perissodactyla; Equidae
Source: Ensembl
AGAUGGGGAAACCAAGGCAUAGUAACUUGCUUACAGUCCACGUUUAGUAAGCAGCAGAUUCGCUGAGUCAAAGCCAGGCAUUUUGGCUUGGGACAUCUACUCUUAACCACUGUGCUGUGUGUCUUUCAAAACACGAGGAGCUAAUGUUUAUCAAGUGCCCACCGCAGUUUAUGGUCUAUGCAUGGUGUUCAGCAUUUUACAUGUUAACUAAUUUAAUCUUCACAGUGGCCCUGUGAGGGUAGGUGUUUUUGUUCCCAUUUUGCUGAUGAGGAAAUUGAGGCACAUCUUCCUUGGUUGGAUUGAUUGAAUGGGCAAAUGGUCCAUUAAAGGGGGUGGUCUUAGCCCCUCCCGUCAAGGUUAUGCCUGUGACCAGAGCCUGGUCUGCUGUGGUGGGCCAAUGGGCAACAGGCCACCUGAGAAGACCCCUCUGGUGGGGCGUGUUGAUGAUCUCUAGAUAGGGGGAUGAGGCGAUAGUGAGUAAGUGGGAGAGCGGGAGGCCUGGCAGGAGAGGAGCUUGGGGAGGCCCUUCCUUCCUGGAGAAGGUUCUCUUUGGGCUCUCGCCUAUGCCCUUCCUGUCUAACGGUGGUGGGGCAUUCCACUCCCCCUCAGUGCACCUCUUCUUCCUGUCAACUUCCACACCUCUUCCUUGCUUUUCCCAGCUCCAUUUCUGAGGACCAGUUCUCUCUGCUCAGAGCCCCCAGGGUUCCUCCAGGAGAGUAGAAAUGCUAAAAAACUUCCAGCCCAGAAGAUGUCGCCUUUUGGGUUGGAAACUUCAGCCCACACUGCACAGUGGAAAAGCCCCUUGGUUGUGUCUUUUUUUUCUAUCUUGAGGAUAAACUCUUCCCUUUUUUUUUUGGUCUCUUUGGAUGGGAAGAGGCACUCACACGAAGCAUUUUCUUUUUCUUCCAAGAGGAAGAUUAAUGUCUCCCAUAGGCCAAGUGACAGGUCAAGAAUUUUGCAGCAUCCUCAAGUGAGGGAAAUCACUGGCAAAUUCCUUUGAUUGGAUAAUGCAGCUCUUCUCAAACUUUGUCAUCUAUCAGAAUCACCUGGAAACUAAUAAAAAUACAGAAACCCAGGCUUGUUGAAGUCGCAUAGGGCCUGGAUCUCUGUCUUUGCUGUGUUUUCCGGGUAAGAAUAAUGGAGUUGGAGCACUGGCUGGCAAACUUGGCUACUCAUUGGAAUCACUCGGGAGUUAAAAAAAAUUACCGAUGGCUGGGUACUCUCAGCGAUUUUAAUUCAGUUAGUAUGGGGUGCAGCCUGCAUGUUACAAUUUUUAUAUCUUCUAUUUCUUUGCUGAGACUUUGUGUCUUUUUCAUUUGUUUCAAGCAUAUUUGUAAUUGCUUGUUGAAGUAUUUUUGUGAAGGCUGCUUUAAAAUCCUUGUCGGAUGAUUCUCAUUUAUCUGUCAUCUUGGUGUUGACAUCGGUUGAUUGUCUUUUCUCAUUCAUGUGGAGACUUUCCUGGUUCCUGGAAUGAUGAAUGGGUUUUGAUUGAAACCUGGAAGUUUUGGGUAUUAUGAGAUACUGGAUCUUAAUUAAAUUUUCUGUUUUAGGAAGACUCCUCUGCCAGUGCGCUGGUUGGGGAAGGAGAGUGCUGCCUCGUUACUGUUGCGUGGUGGGUGGAAGUCCAGAUUAUUUACGGCCUCAGCUGAUACCCCUCUGGGAUGCGGCAGGAGUGCCUCAUUACUAUUGCUCCGUAGCUUCCAUUGAUGCUCUGACUUAUUAUUGCUGGGUGAUGGUGAAAGUUCCAGCUUGGCACUAGGCCUCCUCUUGACACCCCAGCAAGGAGGGGAGGAGGCCUUUUUCUCUCCCAGGUUGGGUGGACAUCCCAGUGUCCUGGCUUCCCAUUCAGCCUUCUGUGACACCACCUGGAUGAAGGUAAGGUUGGAACAUCUCUUUACAACCGGGUGAGAGCAGAAGUCUAGUUUCCUGACUUGGCCGAUAGGGGUGAGGUUUGGGGGCAUGGCUUUUUUCUGCGAUGUUUGGCUGGAGUAGAGCUGUUAUUGUCGAAAAGUUUUCUGUAGUGUGAGGCUGCCUCUUUCUUAGUCCUUUGGCUAGAGAAGGCAGGCUUUCCUUGGACAUUUUUUUGUCUGUGUCUCUUGGUGUUUCUGGGUCUCUGGCUUCUCCAGAAACCAGUCUGGGAUCUGUGAGACAAAAAGAAAACUUAGGGAACACA